AUGAACGCUGGCGGCGUGCCUAAUACAUGCAAGUCGCGCGAACGGACGAGAAGCUUGCUUUUCUGAUGUUAGCGGCGGACGGGUGAGUAACACGUGGAUAACCUACCUAUAAGACUGGGAUAACUUCGGGAAACCGGAGCUAAUACCGGAUAAUAUUUUGAACCGCAUGGUUCAAAAGUGAAAGACGGUCUUGCUGUCACUUAUAGAUGGAUCCGCGCUGCAUUGGCUAGUUGGUAAGGUAACGGCUUACCAAGGCAACGAUGCAUAGCCGACCUGAGAGGGUGAUCGGCCACACUGGAACUGAGACACGGUCCAGACUCCUACGGGAGGCAGCAGUAGGGAAUCUUCCGCAAUGGGCGAAAGCCUGACGGAGCAACGCCGCGUGAGUGAUGAAGGUCUUCGGAUCGUAAAACUCUGUUAUUAGGGAAGAACAUAUGUGUAAGUAACUGUGCACAUCUUGACGGUACCUAAUCAGAAAGCCACGGCUAACUACGUG
This 496-nucleotide ribosomal RNA is filed under the name uncultured bacterium. RNAcentral describes it as "partial 16S ribosomal RNA". It matches the Rfam family "Bacterial small subunit ribosomal RNA", at positions 29 to 507 of the family's 1533-position model. The record is from RNAcentral.